GACGAACGCUGGCGGCGUGCUUAACACAUGCAAGUCGAACGGAAAGGCCCUGCUUUUGUGGGGUGCUCGAGUGGCGAACGGGUGAGUAACACGUGAGUAACCUGCCCUUGACUUUGGGAUAACUUCAGGAAACUGGGGCUAAUACCGGAUAGGAGCUCCUGCUGCAUGGUGGGGGUUGGAAAGUUUCGGCGGUUGGUAUGGACUCGCGGCUUAUCAGCUUGUUGGUGGGGUAGUGGCUUACCAAGGCUUUGACGGGUAGCCGGCCUGAGAGGGUGACCGGCCACAUUGGGACUGAGAUACGGCCCAGACUCCUACGGGAGGCAGCAGUGGGGAAUAUUGCACAAUGGGCGGAAGCCUGAUGCAGCAACGCCGCGUGCGGGAUGACGGCCUUCGGGUUGUAAACCGCUUUCGCCUGUGACGAAGCGUGAGUGACGGUAAUGGGUAAAGAAGCACCGGCUAACUACGUG
Molecule: ribosomal RNA, 467 nt
Filed under: uncultured bacterium
Lineage: Bacteria
Description: partial 16S ribosomal RNA
Rfam family: Bacterial small subunit ribosomal RNA
Source: RNAcentral